This is a non-coding RNA of Neurospora crassa OR74A, 992 nucleotides long. The record is from RefSeq and is a predicted model, not a curated record. Lineage: Eukaryota; Fungi; Ascomycota; Sordariomycetes; Sordariales; Sordariaceae.
GAGAGGUACCUGACGUUAACCGACAGCUUCUUCAAGGGCCCCCUGGAGUCAUCCCACGAUUUCCGCCCCUUCUUUGCGUCCACAUCUCACAUCUACUACCAUCGUCGGUCCCUCCUUUCCGGGUCGUCGCGGUUGCUAUCGUAUCGAUCUGGGCUAUCUGGCUGGAUCUCUGUUUGACUUGUCCACGUUUUAAAUAAGGCAUUGCUUUCUUGUACCUUUUUUAUCCGUUUUUUUUUUCUUCCCUUUUUUUCUUCUUUUUGGGGAAAAUUUGGAGACAGACACCAACGAAAGACACCACCAAACCGACCACCACCACCACUACCACCACCACUUACAACAAACGAACUCUCAGCUCCAACGCUCGAACCGCGCAAUCGCAACGCAACCCGCCACCCGUCUGGGAACCUCAAGCGCCCACAAAGCCCUGUUCCGCGCCGGCACCGCAGUGCUUACCCGCUCCGUUGUCCCACGAUAAUAUCUUGCGCGACACCCUCUCCAUCUUCAGGUUCCUAUCCUAGACCUACCUAACUACCUACCUUGGGUUCUUAGUCCUAGCUUCCUUGGAGACUUGCUGCUGUUGGUGAACCCUAGUUCUACCUCUUCUAGGCUGGCCAACAGAUCCACGCAACUUUGUACGCCGUGCUCAUAGUUUGCGACACCUCUGACCUCUUUGGCUUUGCCAAUCCCCGGCCGUCUUCUCCCGCCUUCCUGACUCGAAUCUGGUGAUUUACACCACUGCCCGCGGCUUUUGGUUUCGCCCAAUUACGCACUCUUCUGCCAUCCAACAAGCACAGAGCUUUGCGCCAGUUCGCUACGCCAAACUCCUGAUUGUCGCGCCAUCCGCCUUCAGUGUUUCUCGAGCCCCCAUCUUUAACUGAAAAAGUUAAUAGUCGACACAAGAGACGAUUCUCAUUGUGCGGGCUGGAGACAAGACAGUCGAAAAAGGAAAAAAAAAGGAAAAAAAAAACCCCUCCGACAGAACGGAAAAGAGG